GGGGCUAUGGUUCAAUGGUAGAAUAUCGGUCUCCAAAACCGAGGAUCGGGGUUCGAUUCCCUGUGGCCCCGCCC
Molecule: transfer RNA, 74 nt
Filed under: Candidatus Zambryskibacteria bacterium CG10_big_fil_rev_8_21_14_0_10_42_12
Lineage: Bacteria; Candidatus Zambryskiibacteriota
Description: tRNA-Trp
Rfam family: tRNA
About the family: Transfer RNA (tRNA) molecules are approximately 80 nucleotides in length. Their secondary structure includes four short double-helical elements and three loops (D, anti-codon, and T loops).
Source: RNAcentral